Molecule: ribosomal RNA, 342 nt
Filed under: uncultured bacterium
Lineage: Bacteria
Description: bacterial SSU rRNA
Rfam family: Bacterial small subunit ribosomal RNA
Source: RNAcentral
ACUGCCUCCGGACUCCCUCUGGCUUCGUGCCUAAUACAUGCAAGUCGAACGAACCGCGACUAGGUGCUUGCACUUGGUCAAGGUGAGUGGCGAACGGGUGAGUAACACGUGGGUAACCUACCUCAUAGUGGGGGAUAACAGUCGGAAACGACUGCUAAUACCGCAUAGGACAUAGGAUCACAUGAUCCAGUGAGGAAAGGUGGCGCAAGCUAUCGCUAAGAGAUGGACCCGCGGUGCAUUAGCUAGUUGGUAGGGUAAAGGCCUACCAAGGCGAUGAUGCAUAGCCGACCUGAGAGGGUGAUCGGCCACAUUGGGACUGAGACACGGCCCAAACUCCUACGG